UGGGGAAUAUUGCACAAUGGAGGGAACUCUGAUGCAGCGACGCCGCGUGAACGAAGAAGGCUUUCGAGUCGUAAAGUUCUUUUAUAUGGGAAGAUAAUGACGGUACCAUAAGAAAAAGCCCCGGCUAACUACGUGCCAGCAGCCGCGGUAAUACGUAGGGGGCUAGCGUUGUCCGGAAUCACUGGGCGUAAAGGGUUCGCAGGCGGAAAUGCAAGUCAGGUGUAAAAGGCAGUAGCUUAACUACUGUAAGCAUUUGAAACUGCAUAUCUUGAGAAGAGUAGAGGUAAGUGGAAUUUUUAGUGUAGCGGUGAAAUGCGUAGAUAUUAAAAAGAAUACCGGUGGCGAAGGCGACUUACUGUGCUCAUUCUGACGCUGAGGAACGAAAGCGUAGGUAGCAAACAGG
Molecule: ribosomal RNA, 403 nt
Filed under: Verrucomicrobiota bacterium
Lineage: Bacteria; Pseudomonadati; Verrucomicrobiota
Description: Verrucomicrobia bacterium partial 16S ribosomal RNA
Rfam family: Bacterial small subunit ribosomal RNA
Source: RNAcentral